Molecule: long non-coding RNA, 3436 nt
Organism: Aethalodelphis obliquidens (Pacific white-sided dolphin)
Lineage: Eukaryota; Metazoa; Chordata; Mammalia; Artiodactyla; Delphinidae
Exons: 4
Source: RefSeq, a predicted model, not a curated record
AAGUGGAACAUUCCAUUUAAAGGGUGAAACAGGAACAGGUGAGCGUACAGUGCAGAAAAGAGAGAGGACUCAGAGACAGGUGAGAGGGGUGCAGCUGAGCCACUCACGCUGCCCACCUCCACCUCUGCCACCUUCCUACCCAACUGCUGGAGGGCCCCUUGCUUCCUGAGCCCAGACCCCAAAAUAGGAUAUGGCUCUGGGACACCUAAAGAGGCCAGGGCUUGUGUGGUGUUUCUCAGUGGCAGGAGCAGAGUUCAGAGACCUACCUCGUACAAGGGCCGGUGGGCGGGCAGCCUGGCCUCGCUGCCAAGACCUGUCUGUGCAGUCGUGCCCAGUGGGCAGCACAUGCGGUGAGGCAGGACCCGGCAGGAAUGGCGGAUGGGCCAGGCUGAAUGUGACUUGGCAAGGGCCUGGAGGCGGCUUUUGAGAAGCAGAUUUGGGGCAGUGCGGUACUGUGUUAGAGAUUGGGUAUACAGACACAGAUGAGACCUGUUUCUGCCCUCAAGGAUCUCACAGUCUAACUGCAAUCCUGUCGGGAAGAUAGAAUAUCAUUCCCACAAUAUAGAUGAGGAAACUGGAGCCAAAAGUACUGUCUCGACCUCCCUCCGCCUCUUCACCCCCCACACUGUCUCCAUCAGAGUGUUGAGCAAGAAGCAAUCAUCUGUGGAAGGCAGCCUGGAAAAACUGCUCCCUGGAAUGGAGUCAGUCCUCUCUGGGCUCCUACUUGUGCAACUGAAACGGCAUCAGUGGGUCUGCAUCUAUGUUAGUUGCUGAUCUGAUGCCCUCUACCAAUCAGCAGUGGCCGCCUUUAUCUCUUAGAUAAUUCUUGACUUGGGGAAGAUUGUCUUCCUCCUUCUUCUCCCUGGAUUAUCUGAACAGAUAAGGGGACUGUAAAAUCCAGGGACCCAUGGAAACCUGGGAGGCUCCACAUGGUGGUGGAUGCUCACUGAACUCUAGAUUUAUAAACUAAUGAGCAUUGCUUAGUUCUUUGUAGUGGACAGAGUGUGUUCACAUGAGCAGAGAACAGUAUGCUUGUCAAUUCCCCCUCCCUUCCACAUUUACCAGCUCAGGAUUCCUGGAAAGGUCUGAAUCACCAAAGCUUGGGAUUGUUCUCUUCACUUUUAGGCUUAAGCUAAAAGGGACAUAGAGAGGUCAUCUGUCCCAGUGAUUAUCAAAUUUUGGUCUGUGACAGAGUUUUCACCAGUCCAAAAUGAAAUGAGAAAAAAGGGGAAGCAUACUGAAUUUUUUUCGGGAAGCAUAAUGUAUUCAGUUUAAAGGGUUACUUUCGGAGGCAGGAGAUGUACUCAAAUAUUUAUUCUGAGGUUAUGGCUUGCUUAUUCUUUUCAUGAGCUGAUGAUGAGAGUGGAUGGUAGCUAGGCUUUUUAAAUGUCCUUAUUUGGCAAAAUAAAGAGUUGGCAACUUUACAGUGGUUCCUUACAUUUCGUUUUUUGAAAUUUAACUGGUCUAUGAAAUCAAAAAAUCUUGCCUCCAGGCAGGAUCUUCUUCAAACAGAUGAGACUCUAUCUCCCUGAUAAGGGCUCUUUGGGGCAGAUUUCUGAAAACCUGGAUUCUGAUCUUGUCACCACUGUUCUUUCCCUGUGGGUCCUUGGGCCAUGACAAACUCACACGGAGUCUCAGUUUCCUCAUUUUUACACUGUGGGAGGUUUCUGCCUCCAGGAUAAGGUCACUGGCAGAGGAAUGUGUUCUCACUUCCUUGUCCUCUUUGUCAGGAAGUCUGAGACUCUCCCUUCUCUGAGGGGCUCUGGGAUCAGGCCUUGCUGGUUCCUAUUCCUAUAGUCAUUUUUGGGAAAUGAUGGAGGUCAUCUCUUAUGCUUGGAAAAGACAGAGAGGACUUGUAGUUUGAAAUAUGGGAGCAGCAAGAGGUAUAUUUUACAUUUGAGGUCUUGGCGUCCAGUGUUAAUCAUUUGGAAACACAGGUAUUAAAAAGCUCUUGCCAGCAGUUUUUGAAAUGGUGGACCUUCUUGAGCUCUCAAGAAUAUCAGCUGGAGCUUUUCUAAAUCUGGAGGCUCCUGGAGGCCUUAGAGUGUCUGGGUCUUCUACCUUCUGGAGAGUCAGGCCUGGAAUAGCAACAAAUAUGUGGGAAUCCCCAGGCAGCCCCAGCUGCCAGACUGAGACAUGUGGUUGGGUGUGCACAUGUGUGCAGACUUGUAGGAGAGAAAGCGUUUAGAGGAAAGUCAGUUUGAAAUCACCCUGGAAAUUGAACUAGAUGCUCUUUUUGAGAUUUGUUCUAGGACCCUUUUUUCCUGAAAGUCUAGAAGCCUCUUAGUAGGAGAGAAUUUUCUGAUUUUCCACCCCAAUUUUAUGUUCUGAAACAAGAGCCCUCCUAGCCUGGGAAAGCAGUGGAGAUCCUACUUGGGCUGUUGAGUUUGUGGGAGUGAGUAGCAGACUCUUACCUCAAGCUUUCCUGGGACAGAGGGAGAAGUAGGACAAACUACUAAAGGCAAGAGGGGAGCCUUAGCCUCUGAGCUGGAAGACCAAGCCUAGGUGCAUUAAAUUCUCCUCUCCCAAAGGUUUCUGGAUGGUGAUGGGGCAGUAGAGCAGCACAACCCCUAAGAACAGUGCUACAGAAAAGCCUAAACCCGUGGAUGACGGCAGACACCACAGACUUAUUCAAACCAGUGGAGGGGGAAAGAAAAAGUGAAAAAGAAUCCAAGAAGUGCAGAUGAAAGAUCUCCACCACCCGAGGUGCUCCUGCACAGGAGGCCCCUCCACAGACCCUCUGAUGGCUCCACCUAGGUUUGGGACAAGUGAAUCGUGUGUCAAGGCAGUGAUUCUCUUAGCUCAUCUCUGGUCACCAGCGACAGUGGCUUUCCCCAAGGGGGCUUUCAUAAGGAUUUUGUCCUAACUUUGGGUAGAUUGGGACACAGAGUCAAGGCGUACAGUGAAAUUCUUAGAAAUUAGGAUCUCUUCUGAGAUGUUCAAGACGAAAGGGCAGAGGGUGAGAACCAUUCAGCAUACCUUUUUCUGACUGUAAAGGUCAACGAGAGCAUGACUGGGACCUCAAAGAUGUUCCCAUCCUUGUCACGGUGAGGCAAUGGAAAGCAAUAUCCGGACUCCAGGGCCACCUUUGUCUUCAAUCGGCUGCAUGAUCUUGGGCAAUUCAGUCCCUCUCUGGGCCUCAGAUUUCCCAUCUGUGAAGCGAGGGGGUUGAAUUUGAUUGCCACCAUCCUCUUCAACUCUACAUGCCUCAACUCUCCAUUUGACCGAUAGGUAGACCUUAUCACUCCAAGAGGAGAGUCUCCUGCCUUUCUCAGAGCUGCAGGUCUGCUGUCCAGCAAUUGCAUGUCUGUUGGAAAAGUGGCUUGAGGUAGCAGGAUGAGAUGGGUAUUUUCAAGACAGCAGAUCCAGGGUCAGAACUGAGAUGCCCACUUGGACGACAGUGCAUUGGGACAGGUCAAGUCCUUCACAGUCAUCA